RNAcentral lists this long non-coding RNA (41971 nucleotides) under Populus tremula. RNAcentral's name for it is "long non-coding RNA (PTRE_LNC002422)". The stretch from base 38062 to 38134 matches the Rfam family "tRNA". Lineage: Eukaryota; Viridiplantae; Streptophyta; Magnoliopsida; Malpighiales; Salicaceae. The record is from RNAcentral.
GAGGCUGAAGGAUCAAGCAGUGAAAGAAACAAUGCUUGCCUGUCAGAAUUGAAGCUUCUGUCAAACUUAAUUACCUUAGACAUGCAAAUUACAGAUGCAGAUCAUAUGCCCAAGGACUUGUUUUUGUGCUUUCAAAAGUUGGAAAGGUUCAGAAUAUUUAUUGGAGAUGGGUGGGACUGGUCUGUUAAGUAUGCAACCCCAAGAACUUUGAAACUCAAGCUCAAUACAGUUAUUCAGUUGGAGGAGGGGGUGAACACGCUGCUGAAGAUCACUGAAGAACUUCAUUUGCAAGAACUGAAUGGUGUUAAGAGUAUCCUCAAUGACUUGGACGGGGAAGGUUUCUGUCAGCUGAAGCAUCUUCACGUCCAAAAUUGUCCUGGAGUUCAAUUUAUCAUCAACUCGAUGAGGAUGGGUCCUCGAACUGCUUUUCUGAACUUGGACUCACUGUUUCUUGAAAAUUUGGAUAACUUGGAGAAGAUCUGCCAUGGCCAACUUAUGGCAGAGUCGCUUGGAAACUUGAGAAUUUUGAAGGUAGAAAGUUGUCAUAGGUUGAAGAAUUUAUUUUCAGUCUCCAUGGCAAGAAGACUUGUGCGACUUGAAGAAAUCACAAUAAUUGAUUGCAAGAUCAUGGAAGAGGUUGUUGCUGAGGAAAGUGAGAAUGAUACUGCUGACGGUGAACCGAUAGAGUUCACUCAAUUACGUAGACUGACACUGCAACGUCUGCCUCAGUUCACAAGCUUUCACUCUAAUAGAAGGCAGAAGCUAUUAGCAAGUGAUGUGAGGUCAAAAGAAAUUGUUGCGGGGAAUGAGCUUGGGACUUCCAUGUCACUUUUCAAUACAAAGGUCUGGUUUGCUCUUUUAACAAGCUAUUAUUUGUCGUUUUAACCUCAAAAAAUAAAAACCCAUUCUCAUGAGUAGACAAAUUAAGGGCUUUGAUUUAUUUUUUAUCUCGCUGAAAAAUAAAAAGAACUUGAUAAAACAAAAUAUGUGCAUGCAGAUUUUAUUCCCCAAUUUGGAGGGCCUGAAGCUCUCCUCCAUCAAAGUGGAAAAGAUAUGGCACGACCAACCUGCUGUGCAGCCUCCCUGUGUUAAAAACUUAGCAAGCAUUGUUGUGGAGAAUUGUAGCAAUUUAAACUAUUUAUUGACAUCUUCUAUGGUCGAAAGUCUUGCUCAACUCGAAAGGCUUGAAAUAGGGAAUUGCGAGUCCAUGGAAGAAAUAGUUGUUCCAGAAGGAAUCGGAGAAGGCAGAAUGAUGAGCAAGAUGCUAUUCCCUAAACUACACCGCCUAGAGCUCAAUGGUCUGCCGAAACUCACAAGAUUCUGCACCACUAACUUGCUUGAAUGCCACUCCCUGAAAGUGCUGACGUUACUGAAAUGCCCUGAACUGAAGGAAUUUAUUUCCAACCCAUCAAGUGCGGAUGUCCCUGCCAUGAGCAAACCUGACGACACAAAAUCAGCUCUCUUCGAUGACAAGGUGAUUUUAUUUCAAAAGCAUGCUUAAUUUGUGAUAUUUUGUUUCUAUGUUUUACCCCAAAGGUGAUAUUUUGUUAUGGGCGUUGGCAAUCUAUUAACAGAAUGGAAUUGUUACUGCAGGUUGCAUUCCCUGACUUGGAGCUAUUUCGAAUUGUCGAAAUGGAUAAUUUGAAGGUGAUAUGGCACAGUGAACUCCAUUCUAAUUCCUUUUGCAAACUGAAGACACUGCGUGUUUGGAGUGUAAAGAAUUUACUGAAUAUUUUCCCUUCCAGUAUGCUGAGAAGAUUCCUUAAUCUAGAGAAUCUGACUAUAACUCGUUGUGAUUCAGUAGAAGAGAUUUUUGAUCUCCAAGCGCUCAUAAAUGUGGAACAAAGACUUGCUGUUACAGCCACUCAAUUGAGAGUUGUGCGUCUAAGGAAUCUUCCACAGCUGAAGCAUGUUUGGAAUAGGGAUCCACAAGGAAUUCUUUCCUUUCAUAACCUAAGUACUGUGCAUGCCGAGGGAUGUCCUGGUCUAAGAAGUCUCUUCCCUGCCUCUAUAGCCCUAAACCUUCCACAACUUGAAGAGCUUGAGAUAGAUACUUGUGGAGUGGAGGAAAUUGUUGCAAAGGAUGAAGGACUAGAAGAAGGUCCUGAGUUUUUGUUUCCUAAAGUUACCGAUCUGCUGCUUCGGGAAUUACCAGAACUAAAGAGAUUCUAUCCAGGAAUACAUACAUCAGAAUGGCCGAGGUUGAAAAGGCUCUGGGUGUUUGACUGUGAGAAAAUUGAAAUAUUUCCUUCAGAAAUGAAGUGCUCUCACGAACCAAGCAGGGAGGACCACAUGGACAUCGAAGGUCAGCAACAACUUCUCUCAUUUAGGAAGGUAUGAUCCUCACCCCUAUUCCACGUACGUACACGCUCCACAUCUUUCUAAUUUUCACAUAAACUUUCAUUAGACCGUUAUUAUCACAACUAGAAUCUUACGUUCAUUACUAGCAAUGCAAAAUCAGUGUUGUAUAUUAAAGAUUAUCUCACUCACCUAUAAAAUAUAAAAGUAAAAUAAAUACUAGGUAAAAGACUCAAAAAUUCUAUUAAAAAUCAUUAGAAAUACCUAUAACAAAUAUACAAAAUAUAAUAAAUAAAUAAAAACCAAAUAAAAGAUUCCAAUGCAUAAUAGACACCAGGUUUAGUCUCCUAAUUUUAGGGAUUAAAACGAUAAUUUUUCCAAAAACAGGGACCACAAUGUAAUCUUACCAAAAUUGGAUGACCACACUAUAAUUAUCAGAAAUACAUAACCAUAUUGAAAUUUCACCAUAAUCCAUAUUAAAUUCUGUCCAGAAUCUCAAUUUACAUUUUAGGAACCAAACUAUAAUUUUUUUCAAAGUGUAGGGACUAAAUUAUAAAUCUCCAAAAUAGAGGGACUAAACUAAAAAUUACACAAUUCAAUAAUUGAACAGAGGUUCAUCAUUCUUAAUCUCAUAAGAAUACUAUUCAAAAUUACACAAUUUAAUUAUUGAACAGAGGUUCAUCAUUCUUAAUCUCAUAAGAAUACUGUUCAAAAUUCCAAAAUACAUUUCAGAGGUCAAAUUAUUAUUUUCUAAAGUUGAGGGACUAAACUCUAGUUUUCAUUAAUUAAGAACCAAAAUAAAAUUUCAUCAUCUUCAACCUUGAGACCAUUCUGACAUGAUUUUCUAGCAAAGUUUAAUAAAUUUCUUAACCCAUAACAAAUCAAUUAAAUAGAUCAAUUAACAAAUUCAACACACUGAAAAUCAAUCACUAAAUUUUAAAUUCAUAAUAAUCAUGAAACAAUCUUAUUGUUAUGAUCACUGUUAUGAUUAAUUAUGUUUCUAUUCAAGCAAGGUGAAUUUGGUUGACAUCCCAAUAUUUGGUGAAUUAAUGAAGCAUGAUGACUUCUUUUGAGGGAUACAUAUGUUGUAUGAUGUGUUCAAUCUAAAAGCCACUGCCCCUCUGCGAAAAAAGAAUUCUUAUUGAAAGAUUGACAAAGCUUUUGCAUUCAUAACAUAACAAAACUGAAGCCAGAGCUCACGUGGCACAAUUCAUUUAGUCAAGUGUUCAGUUGAUCUUUCUAUGCACAGCCUAUAAACUUGUUAAGAAAACGUCAAGUCAAGCAUGCUUUCUUUUGAUUGGUUUUCAGAUCUUCCCCAACUUGGAGAAUUUAGGUUUGGAAGGAAAGGAUGCAUCGGCAUUAUUGAAAUGUCCUCAAUACUUCUUUCACAAACUCAAAGUUCUCCAUCUGUAUCGCUUUGGUGAUGCACAUGCAACUUUUCUAUUUGAUCUCCUUCCAAGGUUCCCUAAUAUGGAAAGACUUGAUGUGAAACGUGGUACGUUCAAAGAGUUGCUCCCGUCUAGACUUGAUGGUAUGGAGGAGCAUGCAACAGUUCUUCCACCGAUACGACACUUAGGGUUGUAUUCUCUUCCUUGCCUAGAGCAUUUAUGGAAGAGCAAUUCCCAACUGGACCAAGCUCUGCAGACUCUUGAAGCUCUAAGGGUAUGGAAUUGCGGCAGUUUGAUUUAUUUAGCUCCAUCGCGUGCUUCUUUCCAAAAUCUAACAAGUUUGGAUGUGUGGAAUUGCGAAAGAUUAGUAAAAUUGGUGACAUCCACAACAGCAAAAAGUCUGGCGCAACUCACAAUAAUGAGUAUAUCGGACUGCAUUAUGGUUACCGAAAUAGUAGCAAACGAGGGAGAGGGAAUAAAAGAUGAGAUUGUCUUCAGCAAAUUAGAAAGAUUAUUGCUUAAUGAUUUACCAAGCCUAACUAGCUUUUGCUCAGAAAAACACAGCUUUGAUUUCCCAUCUCUGGUGCAAGUAACUGUCAGGCAAUGUCCUGGGAUGAAGUUUUUCUCCAACGGAGCACUGAGCACUCCCAAGCUGCGGAGAGUUAAAUUGACUGAAGGGGACAAGAAAGGAUCCUGGGUUGGAAAUCUUAACACCACAAUACAACAGUUGUCUGCACAAACGGUAAGUACCGAUCAAUCAUUCCAUUUUCUGCAAACCAUUAAUCUCAAGCUUUUACUAUGACUCACUGUUAUAUUUCUUUCCUGAUGUCGAAAAACAAGUCAAUAACACCUAUACAUUAAUUAUUUUGCGUUAAAAAAAAUAGUUAAUAUACAAUGAGACAAGUCGAAUUGACGCAUGAACACUUUAUUUUUUACAUUUAUUGACACAAAUAGUUAAAGUAUUUAAUUAAAUGCAUGCGUAAAUCUUUUGAUUUAUAAUUAGAAUUUAAAUAAAAAUAAAAACAUAUUUGAAAAGCUUGUAUAUUUUUUUUUGUUAAAAAACAUUAUCCUACCUGUGAUAAACCCUAGUCCUGAUCCAGAGGGAGAACUGCAAAUUAACACCUUGACAUUUGCAGGAAGGCUUUUCAGCACCAAUACUACUAACACUAAUAUUGGGAUGAUUUGUAAGAUCUAAAAACGAGUGAACACUUUUCUUGCAAAAGCUCAUCAUGAUAUAGUAAUUAUAUAAUAUUUUUGAGAAGUAAUUAUAUAGAAUUGUAAAUGGAUGAGCACAAAGGGAGAGAACCUCAAGGCAUGGAAGUGAGAAGUUAUAGAGAGUCUAGAGGGUAUUAAUAACAUCCUCACAACAAAGAUAGAGAGGGAGAGGGAGACUAGGCGGUAUGGUAUAGAGAGAGCCAGAGUGACAGAAGGGGGUACAAUGAUAGCUGGAUCAGUGAUAGAGGUAUCGGUUCCAAGUCCCGCGUAAGAUAUAUGGCCUAAGACUUCGUUCAGAUUUUGCCUUCUCCUCCCCCACUCUUCUUUGUUUUUUCGAUAGGGUUGCCAAUUUUGAAAGUGAUAUAUAUAUAUGGACAUGGUUGUGUUAGCUGCCCAAAAUAACGGUCGGCCUAAUCAUUUCCAAUGCAAGAGGAAACACCUCCAUCCAUAUCCCACGUUCUCAUUUAUGAAUUAAAUCUUAAAAGAAACUGUAGAAAAAAAAUAUAGUGUUAUGGCACCAAUUUGAAUACGGAUAUUUAUUAGUUGAAGUUUGAAAGGAUGGCCUUCGAUUUGAUGGGUGAAAAAUUGAGAGGAGAAUAUUCUUAUCAUCUAAAAUAAAAGAAUAUUAUCAUGGAUAUAUAUAUCACCCAAAAGAUCUAUCAACUAUGAAAUGAAUUAAUUAUGAAUUGUCGUGCUACAGGCAUCAAAUGGUUUGGGCUCACUGUUAUUAAUUCUUGCUUGGUUGAUAAUUCGGUGAUUUGUACCUGGAAUAUUUUGGUUAGGAUAUGUCUCAAAUUUAAUUUAUAAUUAAUUUGGUUAAACUUGAAUAUCGGUGAUGCUAAAAUCCAAUUUUUUUUAAUUAAAUUCAUGAUAAUUUAAAACUUUUCACAGCCUUAUCUGAUAUUUGAAUCUUUGUGGUGAAAAAAGAUCACACAUCUUCUUUGCUAUCACAACAUCCCUAAAUUAUUACCAAAACAUUUCUAAAAAAAAACGUCAUCUGUAUUUGCUUGGCUUAUCCAAACCAUGCAUGUACGUACAGACUAUCAAUGUCUCUCUUUAUCUCUGCUAUAUAACUAAUAAUGCCAAUGUCACUAUAGACCUCAGACAUUCACAGUCUUUGCCAAUAUAUAAUACACUUCCAUUGAGAUAUUUUUCUAUACAAAAAAACAUGGUUAGCUAGGAGAGAAAAAUUAGACUUCGCAGUUAGAGACUUUUUUUAUUAUUAUUGUUUUUUACUGGAUGUUUAUUCUUUAAAAAAAAAAAACAAAACAAAGACGUUCGUUAAUGUUACAAGUCCCAAUUAAUUAUAAAUAAACUAGUACGUAUUUGUCUUGAUCGACUUGUUGACAACUGUUAGUAGCUGAGAAUAUCUUGCAUUGAUCUUCCAAAUCCUUUCGUUAUGGAAGCACUGUGUAAUCCUUUAUUGCUGGAACUCUUCAAAAAAAUUUGUGAUUUUGAUGCCCAGUUCUAACAUUCAUCUUGUACCAUGUUUUUCGAGUCCCGUUUUAAAAAAUUUAAUUUUUUAUAUUUUUUUAAUACUUUUCAAUCAUUUGAAUACACAAAUAUCAAAACAGCUGUAUCUUUUGUCACCCAGUGUUUUUUUCUCUGUUGUUUGUUGAUAGAAUCACAAAAAGAAAUUUCCUUAUCUCUGAUCCAUUUAUGAGGAUGAAAUACCUUAUCUCUCAAGGAAUUAAUAUCAACCUUAUCUCUCUAGGAGUCUUCUUGACCGUCUUCAAGGCAACCAGGAAUCAACGACUGACAUGGUGUCAGAAUUCCUAGGAGUCUUCUUGAUAGAUCUCGACUCUUUAUAAAGAAACAUCAUUUCAUCAAACACAACAUGAUGUGACAUAAAAAAAAUCUCUACUCGUAGGCUUAAAGCAUUUAUGGCCUUUGUAUUUGUCCUUGUAUCCGAUAAAAACACAUGGAAUUGUCUUGGGAUCAAACUUAUUUUUUAUUACAUCAUAAUUUAAUAUAUCAACAAAUUUUAAGAGAUUAUUUUUUAUAUAAAUAAAGUUUGAAUCUAGAGUAUCUAAUAAAAUAACAACCAAAUAAAAUAUAAUAGAAAAACAUUUGAACAAGCAUAUAAUUCUCUCCUCGACAACACUAUUGUUCCUCAAAAACUCAUCAUGCUGCUAUCGCCAAUUCCAGCUUCCAAGUCAAGAUCUGGUUUGUGGUCAAGCGGUGGUUUGAGAAGAGUGUCUCUAGCCGUUUUCAGUUUGAGAAGAGACUCCCUCAUGUUAGUUCUCCGAUCAGGAGAAUCAACCGUACAGGAUAGCCCGACACCAAGGAUAGUAAUCAAGCAUUCAUGUGUUGGGCUCUUCCCUGUGAACAGCUCAGGGUCCACUACUUGUUCUAUGCUAGCAGGAAAAGCUGAUUCCACCCACUUGAUUAUGCUUGAACCUCCAGAAAAGAUUUCGUGUGUUGGGCUCUUCCCUGUGAACAGCUCCAGCAGCAUAACUCCAUAGCUGUAAACAUCUCCCCGGAGUUGAUGGCCGCAAUCCUAAACCAUAUUCUGCGAAGAACAUGUCCAGACAUCUCAAAUGCAAUAAACUAAAGGAACUGUAUAAACACAAGUGAUCUAUAGACACAAGUAAGAACAGAGGCGCAUGCAAGGAAACACACUGUUCAAACAACAAAUUUGAGAUUCCAAGAUCAAGUUAAUUUGCUAACCUGGAGGAAUGUAUCCUAUAGAGCCCCUGAGGCCACCUGUGCAAGUUAUUGGCUGUUGGUCAGCUCCUCUCUCUGCCAGCAAUUUAGGCAAACCGAAGUCUCCCACCUUUGCAGUCAUGUCUUUGUCAAAAAUCACAUUACUUGGUUUCAAAUCACAGUGCACUACUGGAAUUUCACAGUCAUGGUGCAGGUAAUCCACAGCGCAAGCAACAUCGAUUGCCACAUUUAACCUCUCCAAAAUAUUCAACAAGCCUCCAUCUAAUCGCCUUUUGCUUCCCUUGAUCCAUUCUUCCAAGCUCCCAUUACGCAUGUAAUCAUAAACCAAAGCCACAAAUUGGAAACCGUUCACAUCUGUACUUGAGCAUGAGGUGACGAGUUUAAUAAGAUUCCGAUGCCUUACGUUCUUCAAAGCCUCACAUUCAGCCAAAAAACUCUUCCAGGAUCCGUACUUCUCGAUGUCAAGCACCUUCACUGAAACAACAGUCCCAUCUCCAAGUUCACCUUUGUAGACUGACCCAAAACUGCCCUUCCCUAUCAGAUUUCCAGUGUCAAAACUCCCAGUUGCCUUGCGAAGUUCUCUAUAAGUGAUUGUGGGAUGCUGCAGCUUAAUUGAAUCUGCCCUUGGCAUAAUUUUCCCUUUUCUUUUUCUUACACACAGCAAAACUGCUAUCACUGUGCAUACUGCAACUGUGGCUAUGCUGGCAAUGACAACAUAAAUUGCAGUGGAUGUUCUUUUCUGAUGUUGAUUGUUCCAACAAGUUAAAUCCAGGCAGAGCUUCGUAUUCCCUUCCACGUGAAUUCUAGAGAGAUUUCCAAAGGCUCCAUCCUUAGGAAGAAGUCCUUCAAGGUCGUUGAAUGAGAGGUUCAACAAGUGAAGGGCCUGCAAGUUUUCAAGAUUAUUGGGUAUUAUGCCUGAUAUUUGGUUCGAAGAGAGGUCAAGGAUCUCCAAACCCUUCACGUCGCCUAGAGUAGCUGGAAUGACUCCAGAGAACAUAUUAUUUUCCAUGAAUAACUUCUCCAAACUCUUCCAGCUUCCAAUUGUAUCUGGGAUGCUUCCAGACAAAUGAUUGUGAGAAAAAUCAACAGCGGCAACAUUUUCGAGCCCCUUGAUCUCUUGAGGCAAAGAACCUGUUAGCUGGUUACUGGACAGGUUCAGAGUUGCACUCAAACUGGAGAGACCGAAAAUUUCUUUCGGUAUGCUGAUAUGGUCCCAGUCAGGAGCUAAUUUGUAAUAACAGAAUUCACACUGAUUCUCUUCGGGUGAGAACGUACCCAAGAUAAAUGUUGAUAGAAAAAUAUUGUAUAUCUCAUUUUCUUUCCCAGCCUUUUUAUAAGGCUUCGUUAGAACGGUUACAAUAUUUGAAUAACUGCAACAAUAAAACAUAAUAAAUGCUGAAUGGAAACUAAUCAAUAUUUCGGUUAUGCAGCCGAAAUAUAUAAGGAACCGUUAUAACGGUUACACUAUUUAAAUUAUUAGAACAUAAUAAAUACUGAAUGAAAACUGAAUAAAAAACUGAUGCUUAUCACUGCUUCAUAAUUAUCUGCCGUUCACGCCUUAAGUUGCUGUCAUCAAUCCUGCAUUAAGUUGCCUUUCACUGCACUUUACUAUACUUGGGGUUCGGUUUUGUUGCUCUUCCCGAUCUACGUGGUGGCUUAUCAUUACUCCCCCCAGAAAGUGGAACCUUGUCCUCAAGGUUCAAUUGAGGAAAUUGUUGACACAGAAACUCAGUCGGUUCCCACGUAGCAUCCUCUGUUGGUAAGUGUUUCCAUUGGACAAGACUUUCAGUAAUGAACUUACCACCCUGCUUCACCCAACGGUGAUCAAGCACAGCCGCAGGUUCCAAAAUAAUUGCACCGUCAUCUGAUACUGGUGGAAGAUCAGUUUGAGUGUUGGAAGCAUCCCCCACAUAUUUCUUUAAUAAGGAUAUAUGAAAAACAGGAUGAAUACGGACACCCUCAGGUAAUUGGAGUUUAUAAGCCACCUUACCCACCUUUUGGAGAAUAGGAUAAGGACCAAAAAACUUGCUGGCUAAUUUCUGAUGUGCCCGUUUAAAUGCUGAGCUUUGACGAUAAGGCUGUAAUCGGAGAAAAACCAUAUCACCUUCUGCAAAAGACAAAUCCCUCCGAUGUUUAUCUGCAGUUUGUUUCAUGCGAUUGAUGGCAGUGGCUAAAUUUUGUUUGAGCUGCAACAGAAGCUCAUCACGGUGGAGAAGUGUUUGGUCCACUUCGUGAACUGGUGUGGAACCCUCAAAAUAGUCUGGAAGAGUCGGUGGUGGACGCCCAUAAAGUGCCUGAUAUGGAGUCAUACCAGUGGAUGCAUGAAAAGUAGUAUUGUACCAUAGCUCCGCCCAAGGCAAGAAGGACUGCCAUUUACGUGGCCACUGAUGGACAAAGCUGCGUAAAUACUGUUCCAGACAUCGAUUGACUACCUCUGUUUGGCCAUCGGUUUGAGGGUGGUAUGCGGAGCUCAUUUUCAGUUUUGUGCCUGACAGUAAAAAAAAUUCUUGCCAAAAUCUGCUAAUAAAAAUGGGGUCACGGUCACUGAUGAUAGAUCUUGGCAUGCCAUGCAAUUUGACCACGCCCUCAACAAAUUUGUCGGCCACUACCUUAGCCGUGAAUGGAUGAGAUAAUGCCAUAAAGUGAGCAUAUUUACUUAGUCUAUCCACCACCACAAAAAUUGUAUCUUUACCUUGUGAAAGUGGCAGACCGGUAAUAAAAUCAAUAGUAAUAUCAUCCCAUACCUGACAUGGAAUAGACAAAGGUUGGAGUAGACCUGCCGGUGGUAAAGUUUCCGAUUUAGUUCUUUGGCAUGUGUCGCAGCUCUUCACGUACUCCUGAACUGAUUUGUGCAUGGAAGGCCAGUAGAACUGGGUGGCCACCUUUUUAAAGGUGCGUAAGAUGCCCGAAUGACCCCCUAUUUUAGUAUCAUGGGCUUCAUAAAUUAAUUUGUUGCGUAGAGUGACAUCAGAAGGAACCACAAUUCGGCCUUUAAAAAAAGAAUAAUCCAUUGCGUGCAGUAAAAGGUCCUUCGGGUUGAGUUUGAACCAGGUUGCGAAUAACAUAGUCAUCUGUAGUGGCUGCGUUUUUAAUUUCUUCCCAUAUCGCAAGCUGUGGCACGAACAAAUUGUGUAGUGUAGGACUGGCCGGUCGACGAGAAAGGGCAUCCGCAGCAGAGUUUUCACGUCCUGGCCGAUACUGAAUCUCAUAGUCAUACCCCAAUAAUUUAGCAACCCAUUUCUGCUGUUCUGGCGUAGUGAUUCGUUGUUCCAGAAGAUAUUUGAGGCUGCGCUGAUCGGUUUGAAUGAUGAAAUGUUGUCCUAGCAAGUAUGGGCGCCACAUGCGAAUGGCUUCCACCACUGCGAGCAUUUCCUUUGCAUAAGUAGACCAUUUUUGCGACACCAAGAGCUCGACUCAUAAAGGCAAUAGGCUUGCCUUGUUGUUGAGAACUGCCCCAAUUCCAUUACCUGAAGCGUCGGUUUCCACUAUGAAGGUGUCAUUAAAAUUAGGCAUGGCUAAGAUAGGCGUUGUUGUCAUGGCCUUCUUAAGUGUCUGAAAAGCUUCCUCUGCCUCCGUAUUCCAACCAAAAUGCCCCUUUUUGAGAAGAUUUGUAAGAGCCCGAGCAAUUAUACCAUAAUUCCGAACAAACUUGCGGUAAUAACCUGUCAACCCCAAAAAUCCACGCAGCUCGAAAUAUUAGCAGGUCGGGGCCAUGUCACCAUGGCUUCAAUUUUGUUGCUAUCGACCUUCACCCCUUGAUGAGAUACAAUAUGACCCAAAUAUUCAAGCUCUUGCUUACCGAAAGCACAUUUACUAGCCUUGAGAUAAAACUGUUGUUGCUUUAAAAUGUCCAAGGUUUGAGUGACAUGAUGUAAAUGCAUUUCCCAAGUAGGACUAUAAAUCAAGAUGUCAUCAAAAAAUACCAAUAUGAAUUUUCGUAAAUGGGGCCGAAAAAUUGCAUUCAUAAUAGCUUGGAAUGUAGAGGGUGCGUUACUCAAACCAAAGGGCAUAACAAGAUAUUCAUAAUGACCGUUGUGUGUACGAAAAGCAGUCUUAUGGAUAUCUGAAGGUUGCACUCGUACCUGAUGGUAGCCGGCUCGUAAAUCGAGCUUGGUGAAAUACGUUGCCCCAUGCAGUUCAUCCAACAUAUCUUCCACGGUAGGGAUUGGAAACCGAUCUUUGAUAGUGACUGCAUUAAGAGAUCGAUAAUCGGUGCAAAAGCGCCAACUACCAUCCUUUUUUUUAACUAGCAACACCGGAGAGGAGAAGGGGCUGGUGCUAGGUCUGAUGAGUCCAGAAUUCAGCAUUUCCUGGACUUGUUUUUCAAUCUCUGCCUUCUGGAAAUAAGCAUAACGAUAGGGUCGGACGUUGACUGGCUCAAUUCCUUCCUUGAGAGAAAUAGUGUGAUCAAUCUCACGUUUGGGUGGCAACUGUGUGGGUUCAUCGAAGAUCUCUGGAUAUUUAGCUAAGACCCGACACAUACUCGGUGACUGGCUCCCUUCUGUGUCCUGCAUGGUGGACUGUGGACAAAUUGCAAAUACUGAAUGGCCUUGACGCAGCUCUUUGGAAAUCUCCUUCAAGGACGCGGCUUGAAUAGGCUGAUCACAAAACCCCUGCAGCUGUCUGUCCACGUUCUUCCAAGAGAAUUUCAUGGUGAGAGUUCGCCAAUUGCAUAUAACAGACCCCAGCAUUUCCAACCAUUGUACCCCCAGAACAAUGUCCAAAUCUGCUAGAGGAAGUGAAUAAAGGGUAAGGGAAAAAGGAAUUUCCUGAAGAAGGAUCUGCACCUUUUCGAAUUUUCCUUGGCAUUGUAACCGUGCCCCAUUAGCCACCCGAACCGUAAAUGUCUCUGUUGGGACUACUGGAAGUCGUAGCCGAUCAGCCAUGCGAGUGCUUAUAAAAUUGUGGGUAGAACUACUGUCGAUUAACACCACUGCAUUGACGCACCCCACUUUGGCAUCUACACGCAUGGUUCUAGGUGCAGACCAUCCCGUUAAAGCAUGCAGAGUAAUCUCAGGUUCAUCAUUUUCCUUUGCCACCUCUUCUGCGUCAGCUUCUUCAGUGACUUCUUCAUACGUGAUUUCAUUGAAAUCGGUUGGGCCCUCCAGAAGCAAGAGUUGCAUUCCUUGGCAUUUAUGGCCGGCAGUGAACCUCUCAUUACAAUUAAAGCACAGUCCUUGGGCUCUACGUUUCUGCAUCUCUUCCCAUGGUAAUCUACGAAAGGGUGCAUUUGGUGUUGCACGUGUCGUUGUAGGUAGCGUCAGUGGCACUCGAUUUACUUGAGUUGGUCGCAGGAAUUGGCGAUGUCUUUUCAUCUAUUCGUCCUUCAUGCGGGCUAGGCUAAUAGCUUCCUUUAGUGACUGAGGCUUGAACAUACGAAUCCCUUCUGCAAUUUCCGGUUUAAGGCCUCCCAUGAACGUCCCAACCAAAGCUUUUUGGGACCAUCCACGAACUUUGUUCCCCAACUUCUCAAACUCACUCUGAUAGUCACGUAAAGAUCCCACCUGCUUUGUAUGUGAUAAAGCUUCAUCAAAAUCCUCACAGUCAGUGGGUCCGAAUCUCGCCCACAAUUCCUCUUCAAAGGCCUCCCAUGUCAUCGUUCGUCUUUCCUCCCUAUAUGUCCGACGAGCCCACUGCCACCACUGAUUUGCUUCUCCUUCCAGAUGGAAAGAAGCCAGUGAUAUCUUUUGGUUGGCUGGAGUAUUUUGAAACUCAAAGAACUGGUCCACCCGAUUAAACCAUUCUGUCGGAUCUUGUCCAGAAAAUCGUGGAAAUUCCAGCUUGGCCAUUUUAGAAGAAAAAAUUUGUCUGUUACCUUCGUUCUCCUCAUGCAUUGGACGAGAAUUUCUUUCUCGGUUUGUGUUGUUAUGGCUUGAUUCUCCCUUGUCUGAUAACAACGCCUUGCUGGAUAUCAACGCCUCUGACAGUUUAUUGAUCGUUUCUUCUAGCUGAUGCAUUUUUCCCGUCAUGCUCAUCUCCAUUCUCUGUACUCCUUCUUGUACUCCACCGAGCCCUGCCUCCAGCAUUUCAAUUCGUUCUUUGUUAGUCGUCAUUUAAACCAGCUCUGAUACCAAUUGAUAUGGUCCCAGUCAGGAGCUAAUUUGUAAUAACAGAAUUCACACUGAUUCUCUUCGGGUGAGAACGUACCCAAGAUAAAUGUUGAUAGAAAAAUAUUGUAUAUCUCAUUUUCUUUCCCAGCCUUUUUAUAAGGCUUCGUUAGAACGGUUACAAUAUUUGAAUAACUGCAACAAUAAAACAUAAUAAAUGCUGAAUGGAAAGUAAUCAAUAUUUCGGUUAUGCAGCCGAAAUAUAUAAGGAACCGUUAUAACGGUUACACUAUUUAAAUUAUUAGAACAUAAUAAAUACUGAAUGAAAACUGAAUAAAAAACUGAUGCUUAUCACUGCUUCAUAAUUAUCUGCCGUUCACGCCUUAAGUUGCUGUCAUCAAUCCUGCAUUAAGUUGCCUUUCACUGCACUUUACUUUGUGCUUGCCUUUCACUGCACUUUACUAUACUUGGGGUUCGGUUUUGUUGCUCUUCCCGAUCUACGUGGUGGCUUAUCAUAUGCUUCCGUUGAUCCUGUUGCUGGAUAGAUCCAUGGACACCAAUUGCUGGAAAUUAACAAAAGUUGUGGGCAGACUUCCUACCAAGUCGUUAGUAGAUAGAUCAAUUUCAUUCAGUUUUUGGAGCUUUCCAAGGGAGUUUGGAAUUCUGCCCGAUAUCUUAUUUGCAGCCAAAUGCAACUCUUGCAGAUUUGUAAGCUCGCCGAUUUCUGGUGGAAUUUCACCAGAAACAUAAUUAUAGCUUAUAUUUAGCAACGCCAAGCUUCUAAGAUGUCUGAUUGAGGCAGGUAUCCUUCCAUAUAUUCUAUUCCCUCCCAAGUAUAAACUUCUAAGAGAACCCGAGAGAUUUCCAAUGGAUUCCGGAAUGAGACCCUCCAGAAGAUUGCCAUCAAUGGCAAGAAAGUUAAAAUAGCUACUGUUUAUGAAAGAAGUGAGAAAAUUGAGACCCUCAUCACCAGAACUUUUUAUCUGAUUGUAGCCAAUGUUAUACAUUUGCAAUUCAGGAAGAUUUCCAAGUCCUGAUGGCACAUAUCCACUCAGAAGAUUGUGUGCCAUACGGAUGCUCUGUAUGUUUGUAAGAUUAUGCAAAGACCAUGGAAUUGAACCAGUAAAUUUGUUGAUGCAAAAAUUGAAGUUCAAAAGAUUUGGGAGUCUAUCUCCAACAUCAACUGGGAUUUCACCUCGCAGUUGGUUUGAUGCAACCGCGAGGAAAACCAAAGAAGAAAUGUUGUACAGGGAUACAGGAAUUCUGCUGCUCUGCUGAGCUGAAACAGCAGGCAUAACCUUGGCCAGUGAGGAGGUCUCAUCCCGCAAGAAAUUUGAAGUUUGCGUAAAGUUACAGUGAAGUGUAUGAAUAGCUUCGUUCCAAAGGAGGAAAUUACAUUAUCAGUUGCCUGGGGAUCCUUCUGCUCUUGUAGAGAUCUGAGCUUUAUAUGAACAACUCACACUUGACCAAAUUAUUAUUAUUAUUAUUAUUUACCUCUUCUUUCAAUUGAGUAUAAAUUUCUCUAGCAAUUGGCACUUCCGAAAGCUUUUUAAAAGACAGAAAUUACCCUUAAAGAUUCUCAUCAACUCUGUUGUGAAAAAUUCUGAGAAUUGAUAAAUCCUUUUAUCCUUUUUCUUUCUAAUUAGCCACCCUCCUGUCCUGUCUUGAUUUUUAUUUUAUAUUUUAAAACAUACAAAGAUAUCUUUUACUUUAAUUCUUUGUUUUUAGGGUUGAUAUUGUAAAAAUAUUAUUUAGUUCAUUCAUUUUAUUGCAAGUUCUAGAAUCAAGGCUAAAUGCUCAGAAUUCCACCAAUUUAUUGUAUGUAAUUCACUAUUUAUUUUAUAUUGAUAAAUUAAAAACAUACAAUAAUCUUAAGAGAAAAUUGUUGCUUAAAUUCAUGUUCAUUAAGAAAAUCAAAGAAAAAAUUAAUAUACUCAGUAAAACAGUGUUGUUAAGCUAAACACCAUCUUUAUGUUUUCGCUAUCACCGUGUUUUGUUCAGGGAUCUGAGUGAUUAAUGUUGAUUGUAUUUCUUCUAAUGUUCUUCCCUUCGUCUCUGGCAGCAACUUCCAUACGAAUAGAAUAGUUAAAGCACACAUUCCACUGAAGAUGAAGAAGGUCCCUGCAAGAAAUAUUAAUGAAAAAAUAUUGACCAAAGGAUUGUAUGAAGAUAGAUAUGGAGGGACCUUUGCUUUUAUGAAGAUAAAUGUGGAAAUGAGUAAAAAUAAUCGACUUAUUCGAGCACGAACGUGAAGGCCAUACCAUAACUUAUAAAGCAUUAAUUAUAUUUUAGUCAAUCUAGUUUAGUAAAACUAACUAAUCAGCCAUCUUAGUUUCAAAAACUAUAUAUUUAAUCCUUAUGCUCUUAAAUAAAUUUAUAACUUGAUUCUUCUCGUCCAUCUCACUUUCUUUUCCAAUUUAUUUUGAGUUUUUUUAUUUUAAGAACAAAAAAAAAAAGCAGAUAGAAUAAAAAAAAUGAUGAGCAUAGAAAACCAUUUUUUGAAUAAAAUACUACUAAAUUAGGCGUGGCUAUUUAAUAAUUUCUCAUGCUAUACUAUAAGGUCUAAUUAAUUUAUUGUGAUAAACUAUAAAGACUAAGUUGUAAUUAACUCGAAUUUAUAUUUAUAUAUAAGAAAUCUACAUAUUUAUAACCUUUUUUUUUUAACACAAAUCAAAAAUAAUUUGUGGAGUUUUUUUGUUUUCUUUUUUAAGAUUACCUUGAUUAAACUAAACUUGUUCCAUAAAUGUAAAAUAAUCUGUUUUUUUUUUCAUAGCCUAUAUCAUUUACUUAAUUUAAAUUGAUCAUGAAAAAUAUCACCUGAACCUUUAAUAAAAAUAGAUACAAAGGAUUGAAAAUUAUAAAUUCAAAUUGGUAUAAAAAUCAGGAAGCUUCCAUUUAAGCUGGGGUGGAUGGACUCUCCACCGAUCCAGGAAUUCGCGGAAAUUAUUAUAAAAUAUUAACUGUUUAAGAGUAAUCAAAAGCGGAUGGAGCUCAAAUGGUAGAGCGCUCGCUUUUCAUGCGAGAGUAUAGGGUUCGAUACCUUGCAUCUCCAUUUCUGUGUUUUUUUUUUUUUUUGCUUGAAUGGAGUAUUCAGCUAAAACAAUAUUGUGUUCUGGAAGACACUACUAUAAUUGGAGGGUUGAAGAAAUUCCAACUGCCAAGUGAAUUGGGGAAGCUGAGGACUUCAGUUUGUUUCCCUGUGAAAACAUGAACUCUUUACAGAGAAGUGAGGACAUCCGGAUUUACUACUAUAUUUUAAAAAGUAUUUUUAAAAAAAUUAAAUUUUUUUUUAUUAAUUUUAAAUUAAUAUAUUUUUAGUGUUUUUAAAUCAUUUUGAUGCAUUAAUAUCAAAAAUUAUUUUUUAAAAAAUAAAAAAACAUCAUUAAUAUAUAUUUUAGCAUGAAAAAAACAACCAUACGGACACUAACCAACUUAAAUAAGUCAGUGUUCAUACCUUCUACUUUGGGCAUUACCAGAGCUCAAGAAAUUCUAUCCAGGAAGACACCGACACAUUUGACAGAAAUUAUGUGUAUCACUGUGAAAAAUUGGAGGUAUUUGAUUCAGAACAUACAUAGGAACACAUCCUUUUCUCUUUUUUGUUUUCUCUGCUAUAAUCCAUUUCCAUCACAAGAUCUCAUUGGACGAAAUUUUAAACAACAAUUACAUAUGAUUCAAAAAGAGACCCACCUGUCUAUGCUGCAAUUAUUUUGUCUUCCAAAUACCAUUUGAAGUGAGACACUUUCUACAAUUAUUUUUAUUUAGAUUUUCUAAAUCUUGAAAAAUUUCACAUUCAGUAUAAUAAAAAAGAUAUAAUUUUUUUUUAUCUGGAUUGAAAGAGCUUUAUUAUUAAAAAAUAAUUAGCUUGCUAGCUGUUUUCAUUUUUAGAUUUAAAUUAAGCACUAUUUCAGAUUUUUUCCCACUCGUUUUAUGAAGGAAAGAUGCACUCUUUCAACUAUACAGAGAAUAAUCAUUUUCCUUUUUUCUUCUUUCAGCAUUAUAUUCCGGAGACCCCUUGAUGUUAAUUUGCUAUUCAUCUUGAUUGCUUUCUAUCUAUCUUUCUUUAUUUCUUUUGUUACUUUAUGCUUUUGAAAAGCUGUUUAAUAUUUAUGCUUUUCAUCUUGAUUGCUUUCUUUCUUUGUUUGUUACUCUAUGCUCUUGAAAAGCCUCUGCUUUGCUGCUUGUUUAUUAUUUGUGUUGUUUUUGCUUUAUUAAUAUUAGUAUUAUUUAGAUCUUUGUCUGCUAAUCAAUCCAUGCCUCUCCCUACUUAAUAUAAUCCACCAAUACCACUUUUUUCCCAGUUCUGAUCAGUCAAGAAAAAUUUCACAUUCAGUAAAAUAAAAAAGAUAUAUAUAUAUAUAUUUUUUAUCUGAUUACAAGAUUGAAAGAGCUUUAUUAUUAAAAACUAAUUAGCUUGCUAGCUUUUAACAGCAAACCAGUUGUUCCUCACUGUUUAUGGAUGUUGUGCACUUGCUGAUUCGGCAGAGUUCAAUCGGUUAGUUCUCCAAAGUGGGCCCCUAGUUCUGUAGCAAGUCAAGUUGUUCUUUAUGAAGGAAAGAUGCGCUCUUUCAACUAUACAGAGAAUAAUUAUUAAGCCAUCCACUGUUGCUCUUAUCCAUUCCCUUGCUUUCUCACUGCUGAUAAACCUCAGCUGUUUAUAAUCUGCAGUAAUAUUUGCACCUCUGCUCACUGGUCUGAAGUCACUGCUUUGUUGAUUAGCUGAAACCAAGAGGUAUGCUUGCUUAAAGACUUUUCCUUUUUUCUAAUUUUUAUCACUUGAUUUCAGAGACCCCUUGAUGUUAAUUUGAUUCCAGAGACCUCUUGAUGUUAAUUUUUAUCACUUGAUUCCCUUGCUUUCUCACUGCUGAUAAACCUCAUCUGUUUUUAAUCUCCAGUAAUAUUUGCACCUCUGCUCACUGGUCUGAAGUCACUGCUCUGUUGAUUAGCUGAAACCAAGAGGUAUGGUUGCUUAAGGACUUUUCCUUUUUUCUAUUUUUAUCACUUGAUUCCAGAGACCCCUUGAUGUUAAUUUGCUAUUCAUCUUGAUUGCUUUCUUUCUUGCUUUGUUACUUUAUGCUUUUGAAAAGCCUCUGCUUUGCUGCUUGUUUAUUAUUUGUGUUGUUUUUGCUUUAUUAAUGUUAGUUGACUUGCAACAAAGAAAUCCUUUUGCUGUUCAUUUCUGAUUUAGUUCCUGAAGAUUUGAAAAGUUUCCUUCUGAUUUAAUAUGUUCAUUGCAGUUCCUUGAUUGCUUGAUUCCAGACAAGAAGAAGAGUCAAGUUUCAUUGGACAUGGAAAUUGUGAUUUCUAUUGUAGCCAAAGUUGCUGAGCCGUUAGUUGUUCCCAUUAAGAGACAGAUUGGUUAUGUAAUUGAUUGUAAUACCAAUAUUCAGAACUUAAAAAAUGAAGUUGAGAAGCUGACAGAUGCAAAAACAAGGGUGAUUCAUUCUAUAGAGGAGGCUAGAAGGAAUGGGGAAGAGAUUGAAGUUGAUGUUGAGAACUGGCUGAGAAGUGUUGAUGGGGUCAUUGAAGGGGGAGGUGGUGUUGUUGGAGAUGAAUCAAGUAAGAAGUGCUUCAUGGGUUUGUGUCCUGAUCUAAAGAUACGCUAUCGGCUGGGUAAAGCAGCGAAGAAGGAGUUGACGGUUAUUGUUGAUCUCCAGGAAAAAGGGAAAUUUGAUGGAGUUUCAUACCGUCCUGCUCCAUCGGGUAUAGGGCCUGUCAAGGAUUAUGAGGCCUUUGAAUCAAGAGAUUCUGUAGUAAAUGCUAUUGUGGAUGCAUUGAAGUAUGGUGCCGUGAACAUGGUUGGGGUAUAUGGGAUGGGUGGUGUGGGGAAGACCACACUUGUGUUGAAGGUUGCUGAACAAGUCAAGGAGGGUAGGCUGUUCGAUAAGGUGGUUCUGGCACUUGUGUCACAGACUCCAGACAUCAGAAGAAUUCAAGGUGAAAUAGCAGACGGGCUAGGACUCAAAUUGGAUGCAGAGACUGAUAAAGGAAGGGCAAGUCAACUAUGCGAGGGAUUGAAGAAAGCGACUAUGCGAGUACUUGUAAUUCUUGAUGAUAUUUGGAAAGAACUUAAAUUGGAGGAUGUUGGAAUUCCUCACGAAGGAUGCAAGAUACUCAUGUCUUCAAGAGAUGAAUAUGUACUGUCUCGCGAGAUGGGGGCAAACAAAAAUUUCAAGCUUGAAGUUUUGCCAGAAAGCGAAGCGAGGGAUUUGUUCGAAAAGAUGGUGGGGGGUACUGUUAAAAAUCCUAGUGUACAGCCUGUUGCUGCUGAAGUAGCCAAAAGAUGCGCAGGUUUGCCGAUUUUACUUGCUACAGUUGCUAGGGCACUGAAAAACAAAGAGUUACAUGCUUGGAAGCACGCCUUGAAACAGCUAAAAGGUUUGGUAAAGAUGAAUUGACAAACGAGUUUACUCGUGUCUAGAACUGAGUUACCAAAAUUUGAGAGGUGAUGAAAUCAAGUCAUUGUUCUUGCUUUGUGGGCAAUUACGAUCUAAUAAUAUUUUAAUCUCAGACUUGUUAAGGUAUGGUAUAGGCUUGGAUUUGUUUAAGGGAUGUUCCACAUUGGAAGAAACAAGAAACAGUCUGCUUACAUUGGUGGAUGAGCUUAAAGCCUGUUGUUUGUUGCUAGAAGGUGACAAUGAUGGAAGCGUGAAAAUGCAUGAUGUUGUUCAUAGUUUUGCCAUCGAUGUUGCAUCAAGGGACCACCAUGUGCUUGCCGUGGCAGAUGAAUCAAAGAAUGGCCAACCAAUGAUGUGCUUCAACAGUAGUGGAAUCUCUUCGCUUACCGGAAAUUUGAUCUUCCUGCAAUAUUAGAAUGUCCAAAUCUCAGGUCGUUUAUACUGCUGAACAAGGAUCCCUCACUGCAAAUACCAGACAACUUUUUCAGAGAAAUGAAGGAACUUAAAAGUUUGAAUCUACAGAAGUUAAUCUUUCACCACUGCCUUCGUCACUUUCAAUUUCUUUGAGAACCUUCAAACGCUGUGUUGGAUCAUUGUGUUUUGGAAGAUAUAUCUAUAGUUGGAGAGCUAAAGAAGUUGCAAGUUCUGAGCUUAGUGAGUUCUAAUAUUGUUUGUUUGCCAAAGAGAAAUAGGAAAAUUGACUCGUCUGCUACUUCUAGAUUUGAGCAAUUGUGAAAGGCUUGAAGUAAUAUCACCAAAUGUCCUUUCUUCCUUGACCCGUCUAGAAGAAUUAUAUAUGGGAAACAGCUUUCUGAAAUGGGAGGCUGAAGGAUCAAGCAGUGAAAGAAACAAUGCUUGCCUGUCAGAAUUGAAGCUUCUGCAAACUUAAUUACCUUAGACAUGCAAAUUACAGAUGCAGAUCAUAUGCCCAAGGACUUGUUUUUGUGCUUUCGAAAGUUGGAAAGGUUCAGAAUAUUUAUUGGAGAUGGGUGGACUGGUCUGUUAAGAUGCAACCCCAAGAACUUUGAAACUCAAGCUCAAUACAGUUACUCAGUUGGAGGAGGGGGUGAACACGCUGCUGAAGAUCACUGAAGAACUUCAUUUGCAAGAACUGAAUGGUGUUAAGAGUAUCCUCAAUGACUUGGACGGGGAAGGUUUCUGUCAGCUGAAGCAUCUUCACGUCCAAAAUUGUCCUGGAGUUCAAUUUAUCAUCAACUCGAUGAGGAUGGGUCCUCGAACUGCUUUUCUGAACUUGGACUCACUGUUUCUUGAAAAUUUGGAUAACUUGGAGAAGAUCUGCCAUGGCCAACUUAUGGCAGAGUCGCUUGGAAACUUGAGAAUUUUGAAGGUAGAAAGGUGUCAUAGGUUGAAGAAUUUAUUUUCAGUCUCCAUGGCAAGAAGACUUGUGCGACUUGAAGAAAUCACAAUAAUUGAUUGCAAGAUCAUGGAAGAGGUUGUUGCUGAGGAAAGUGAGAAUGAUACUGCUGACGGUGAACCGAUAGAGUUCACUCAAUUACGUAGACUGACACUGCAACGUCUGCCUCAGUUCACAAGCUUUCACUCUAAUAGAAGGCAGAAGCUAUUAGCAAGUGAUGUGAGGUCAAAAGAAAUUGUUGCGGGGAAUGAGCUUGGGACUUCCAUGUCACUUUUCAAUACAAAGGUCUGGUUUGCUCUUUUAACAAGCCUAUUAUUUGUCGUUUUAACCUCAAAAAAUAAAACCCAUUCUCACGAGUAGACAAAUUAAGGGCUUUGAUUUAUUUUUUUUAUCUCGCUGAAAAAUAAAAAGAAGUUAAUAAAACAAAAUAUGUGCGUGCAGAUUUUAUUCCCCAAUUUGAAGGACCUGAAGCUCUUCUCCAUCAAAGUGGAAAAGAUAUGGCACGACCAACCUGCUGUGCAGCCUCCCUGUGUUAAAAACUUAGCAAGCAUUGAAAUAUGGUAUUGUAGUAAUUUAAACUAUUUAUUGACAUCUUCUAUGGUCGAAAGUCUUGCACAACUCGAAAGGCUUGAAAUAGGGAUAUGCGAGUCCAUGGAAGAAAUAGUUGUUCCAGAAGGAAUCGGAGAGGGCAAAAUGAUGCUAUUCCCUAAACUACACUCCGUAAUGCUCAAUGGUCUGCCGAAACUCACAAGAUUCUGCACCACUAACUUUUGAAUGCCACUCCCUGAAAGAGCUGUGGUUAGGGAAUUGCCCUGAACUGAAGGAAUUUAUUUCCAUCCCAUCAAGUGCGGAUGUCCCAGCCAUGAGCAAACCUGACAACACAAAAUCAGCUCUCUUCGAUGACAAGGUGAUUUUAUUUCAAAAGCAGGCUUAAUUUGUGAGCUUCCCUCACACGUGUAUUUUGUUUCCAUGUUUUACCCCAAAGGUGAUAUUUUGUUAUGGGCAAUCUAUUAACAGAAUGGAAUUGUUACUGCAGGUUGCAUUCCCUGACUUGAGUUUUCAAAUUUUCGAAAUGGAUAAUUUGAAGGUGAUAUGGCACAAUGAACUCCAUCCUGAUUCCUUUUGCAAACUAAAGACACUGCUGGUUUGGAGUGGAAAGAAUUUACUGAAUAUUUUCCCUUCCAGUAUGCUGAGAAGAUUCCAUAAUCUAGAGAAUCUGCAUAUAACUGAAUGUGAUUCAGUAGAAGAGAUUUUUGAUCUCCAAGUGCUCAUAAAUGUGUAACAAAGACGUGCUGUUACAGCCUCUCAAUUGAGAGUUGUGCGUCUAUCGAAUCUUCCACAGCUGAAGCAUGUUUGGAAUAGGGAUCCACAAGGAAUUCUUUCCUUCCAUAACCUAAGUAGUGUGAGUGGUGUGAGUGUCUGGGGAUGUCUUGGUCUAAGAAGUCUCUUCCCUGCCUCUGUAGCCCAAAACCUUCCACAACUUGAAGUGCUUUGGAUAGUAGCUUGUGGAGUGGAGGAAAUUGUUGCAAAGGAUGAAGGACUAGAAGAAGGUCCUGAGUUUUUGUUUCCUAAAGUUACCGAUCUGCAUCUUGUGAAAUUACCAGAACUAAAGAGAUUCUAUCCAGGAAUACAUACAUCAGAAUGGCCGAGGUUGAAAAAGCUUCGGGUGAAUGACUGUGAGAAAAUUGAAAUAUUUCCUUCAGAAAUAAAGUGCUCUCACGAAGCAUGCAGGGAGGACCACAUGGACAUCGAAGGUCAGCAACCACUUCUCUCAUUUAGGAAGGUAUGAUCCUCACCCCUAUUCCAUGCACGUACACGCUCCACAUCUUUCUAAUUUUCACAUAAACUUUCAUUAGACCGUUAUACCGUUAUUAUCACAAUGCAAAAACGGUGUUGUAAAGAUACUCCACCUGCACUAGAUCUCAAAAAAUAUAUAUUAAAAGAACAAGUUAUUGAAAAACACACAACAUUUCAUAAUUUUUUUAAAUAUUAUAUUAUUCAAAACUAAUAAAACCAAUUGAUAGUUCAAAAAUUCUCAUCAAUAAUUAAAACAAAAAAUAAUAAUUCAUAAUACUCAUUAUAUUAUUAAAAUCCAAAUUUAAUUAAAACAAGGUAAUAAUGGAGCAUCUAAAACAUCGAGUAAAAACUAAAAAAGAAAUCUCACGAAUUAAAUAAGAAAUACUAACCAAAACUGAAAAAGUAAGAACACUUAACAAAAUUUACUGGUAACAGAAAAUAACAACCUGAAGUAAUUCAACUAACUCAAUGAAGGAAUAAUAUUUAAUAUACAUCUUAUAUAUUAAUAUUUUGUAAGAUUAUUUAUCUUGACACAAACACACAAUAAGCAUGUUAUCAUAAAGUACAUAUCAGUGACUAGAUGACUUGAUGACAUUCGAAUGUAAUUGCUGUGAGAGGAUCAGUUGGCACACGUUAAUAUCUCUUUCACUAGUUAGGUGUGCAGAAUAUUAUGCACUUAUGUUAACUACUCUCCUAGUUAUUAAACUCAGGACUCAGUCGACCUUGUGGCUAGACCAGUCUGGAUAAGGCAAAAGAUCGGGAUAAGCAAAAACUCUUCAAAAUCCGGUUGAUAUAUAGGGUUGACUAAUGACUCGGGUGAACCGGCAAAACCCACUUGAGACUGGUUUUUUUUUUUAAAUAUGUUUUUUUUUCUAGCCAGAGACCUCUUGUUUUGUAUUUUUUUUAGUUGAUUAUUAACCCCUUUUAAAGUUUAUUAUAUAAAUAUUAGAAUAAUGUUUUAUUUUUUCAAUGUGGGAUUUGAAGCCCUUUAAUACACACACACACACUAUGUUUAUAAGAAAAACAUUAUGUUUUUUAAAUGUGGGAUAAAAAACCUUUUUGGUUUAAAUACUUCAACUUAAAAGGAUAACAUACUAAUAUAAUAUCUUUUCAAUGUGAGAAAAAAAUCUUUUGAAAGAAUUUCAAACUUCAUUAUUUAUAAUAUAUAUAGCUUAUAUUCACAUGAAUUAUUUCUUAAUUUUUUCAUAUGAAAUAUUAGAACUUAAAAUAUAUAUUUUUUAAUUUUUUCGAGUUGAUUUAGGUUGACCCGGGAUCACCCGUGUAACCCGGGACCCAACUUCUUGGUUGGGUUUGAUAGCCAUGACUACUCUCUGUUAGCAAGAAGUUACUGACAAGUCCUAUAUUAAGACAUAAUAAAUAUUCAUAUAAUUAUCAAAGCAAUAUAUAUUAUAUCAAAUAGAAUUUAAUUCAACAGAAUGUGAGUACAAAUUCAAAAAUAGACGAGUACUCGAAAAAUAAAGCAUCAUAUAUAAAUAUUCAAGUAAUUAACUAGUCAUAAUCAUCAUAUAAUAAACAUACACAUUUAUUUAUAUUACAUGUAUAUUAAAGAUUAUCUCACUGACCUAUAAAAUACAUAACUAAAAUGAAUACUAGAUGAAAGACUCAAAAAUCAUAUUGAGGAUUAUUAGAAGUAUCUAUAACAAAUAUACGAAAUAUACUAAAAAAAAAAACCAAAUAAAAGAUUCCAAUGCAUAAUAGAAUCCAGGUUUAGUCUCCUAAUUUUAGGGACUAAAACAAUAAUUUUUUUCAAAUAGGGACCAAAAUGUAAUUUUAUCAAAAUUGGAUGACCAAACUGUAAUUAUCAGAAAUACAUAACCAUAUUGAAAUUUCACCCAUAAUCCAUAUUAAAUUCUAUCCAGAGCCUCAAUUUACAUUUUAGGAACCAAACUAUAAUUUUUUUCAAAGUGUAGGGACUAAAUUGUAAAUCUCCAAAAUAGAGGGACUAAACUAAAAAUUAUACAAUUCAAUUAUCAACAGAGGUUCAUCAUCCUUAAUCUCAUAAGAAUACUGUCCAAAAUUCCAAAAUACAUUUCAGAGGUCAAAUUAUUAUUUUCUAAAGUUGAGGGACUAAACUCUAAUUUUCAUUAAUCAAGGACCAAAAUAAAAUUUCAUCAUCUUCAACCUCGAGACCAAUCUGACCAGAUUUUCUAGUAAAGUUUAAAUAAAUUUCUUAACCCAUAACAAAUCAAUUAAAUAAAUCAAUUAACAAAUUCAACACACUGAAAAUCAAUCAUUUAAGUUUAAAUCCAUAAUAACUAUGAAUUAAUCUUACUGUUAUGAUCACUGUUAUGAUUAAUUAUGUUUCCAUUCAAGCAAGGUGAAUUUGGUUGACAUCCCAAUAUUUGGUGAAUUAAUGAAGCCUGAUGACUUCUUUUGAGGGAUACAUGUUGUAUGAUGUGUUCAAUCUAAAAUCUUUUGCAUUCAUAACAUUACAAAACUGAAGCCAGAGCUCACGUGGCACAAUUCAUUUAGUCAAGUGUUCAGUUGAUCUUUCUAUGCACAGCCUAUAAACCUGUUAUGAAAACGUCAAGUCAAGCAUGCUUUCUUUUGAUUGGUUUUCAGAACAUCCCCAACUUGGAGGAUUUAUAUUUGGAAAGCAAGGAUGCAUCGGCAUUAUUGAAAUGUCCUCAAUACUUCUUUCACAAACUCAAAGAUCUGGAACUAUUAUGCUUUGGUGAUGCACAUGCAACUUUUCUAUUUGAUCUCCUUCCAAAGUUCCCUAAUAUGGAGAGACUUAGUGUGGCACAUGGUACGUUCAAAGAGUUGCUCCCGUCUAGACUUGUUGGUAUGGAGGAGCAUGCAACAGUUCUUCCACCGAUACGACACUUAGAGUUGCAUUCCCUUCCUUGCCUAGAGCAUUUAUGGAAGAGCAAUUCCCAACUGGACCAAGCUCUGCAGACUCUUGAAACUCUAAGGUACAGGAUUGCGGCAGUUUGAUUUAUUUAGCUCCAUCGCGUGCUUCUUUCCAAAAUCUAACAAAUUUGGAUGUGUGGGAUUGCGAAAGAUUAGUAAAAUUGGUGACAUCCACAACAGCAAAAAGUCUGGCGCAACUCACAACAAUGAGUAUAAGGAACUGCAGAAUGGUUACCGAAAUAGUAGCAAACGAGGGAGAGGGAAUAAAAGAUGAGAUUGUCUUCAGCAAAUUAGAAAAAUUAGAGCUUCAUGAUUUACCAAGCCUAACUAGCUUUUGCUCAGAAAAACACAGCUUUGAUUUCCCAUCUCUGGUACAAGUAACUGUCAGCCAAUGUCCUGAGAUGAAGUUUUUCUCCAACGGAGCACUGAGCACUCCCAAGCUGCGGAGAGUUAAAUUGACUGAAGAGGACAAGAAAGGAUCCUGGGUUGGAAAUCUUAACACCACAAUACAACAGUUGUCUACACAAACGGUAAGUACCGAUCAAUCAUUCCAAUUUCUGAAAACCAUGAAAUAAGUUCUAACUAGGUAUCUAAUUUUGCUUGUAUUUAACUAUUUCAGAAAGCUCAAAUUGCUGAAAGUUCAUCAUCGUAAAAGCUUGAGAUACAUGCUUGCUCCACCGAUGGGUUCGAUCCCUGUGCAGCUACUAGAGUUGGAAGUAAAAGGAGAGAAAGGAAGAAAGGAGGGAGAAGAAGAAGAGAGGAGCAGGAGAAAUCAAUUAAUGAUCUUCAUAAUUCAUCGUCAAAACUGUGUAAUGUAAAAUACAAUACUAUAAAUAGCAAAACUCUACCCAAACAUUGAUUUACAAUUACUAUAAAUAUAAAUAAAUGGUGUUUUCAUGUAAAAAUAUUAUAAUUGUUAAUUUUUUUGUGGUAAAAUUGUAAUUUUUGGGUUUUUUUUUUAGAAAACAAGUUUUUUCAAUAUUUUGUUUAUACUUGUUAUUUUUAUCAUUUUAUAUUUGAUUUAUUUAUCACCAUUUUUUAUCUUUAUUUUUUUCCUUACACUUUUUUUUUAAAUAUUAUUUUUUACACUUUAAAUAUUUAUCACAAUACUUGGUUUAUCACUAUACUAUUGUUUUGUUUUUAUCUUUAUUUUUUUAUAAUUUUUCAUUACAUUUUUUUUAAACUAUUAUAUGUAGAAUACUUUUUUUAUUUUUUUUUUUAUUUUAUUAACACAUAUGAUAUUUACUAUAAUUUAUUAUAUAUAAGUAUCGAUUUCUUGAUUCACUACUUAAUGUCGAAAAACACGUCAAUAACACUUAUACAUUAAUUAUUUUGUGUUAAAAAAAUAGUUGACCUACAACGAAACAAGUUGAAUUGACGCAUGAACACUUUAUUUUUUAUAUUUAUUGACACAAAUAGUUCUCAAAGUAUUUAAUUAAAUGCAUGUGUAAAUCUUUUGAUUUAUAAUUAGAAUUUAAAUAAAAAUAAAAACAUAUUUGAAAAGCUUGUAUAUUUUUUUUUGUUAAAAAAACAUUAUCCGACUUGUGAUAAACCCUAGUCCUGAUCAAGAGGGAGAACUGCAAGCACCUUGACACUUGCAGGAAGGCUUUUCAGCACCAAUACUACUAACACUAAUAUUGGGAUGAUUUGUAAGAUCUAAAAACGAGUGAAUACUUUUCUUGCAAAAGCUCUUCAUGAUAUAUAUAUAUAUAUAUAUAUAUAUAUAUAUAUAUAUAUAUUAUAAUAUUUUUGAGAAGAAAGGCUACAGUACAUAGAAUUGUAAAUGGAUGAGCACAAAGGGAGAGAACCUUAAGGCAUGGCAGUGAGAAGUUAUAGAGAGUCUAGAGGGUAUUAAUAACAUCCUCACAACAAAGAUAGAGAGGGAGAGGGAGAGGGAGACAGCGUGACAGAAGCUGUAUCAGUUUCAAGUCCCGGGUAAGAUAUAUGGCCUAAGACUUCGUUCAGAUUUUGCCUACUCCUCCCCCACUCUUCUUUGUUUUUUAGAUAGGUUAGCCAAUUUUGAAAGUGAUAUAUAUAUAUAUAUAUAUAUAUAUAUAUAUAUAUAUAUAUGGACAUGGUUGUGUUAGCUGCCCAAAAUAACGGUCGGCCUAAUCAUUUCCAAUCCAAGAGGAAACACCUCCAUCCAUAUCCCACGUUCUCAUUUAUGAAUUAAAUCUUUAAAGAAACUGUAGAAAAAAAAUAUAGUGUUAUGGCACCAAUUUGAAUACGGAUAUUUAUUAGUUGAAGUUUGAAAGGAUGGCCUUCGAUUUGAUGGGUGAAAAAUUGAGAGGAGAAUAUUCUUGUCAUCUAAAAUUAAAGAAUAUUAUCAUGGAUAUAUAUAUCACCCAAAAGAUCUAUCAACUAUGAAAUGAAUUAAUUAUGAAUUGUCGUGCUACAGGCAUCAAAUGGUUUUGGCUCACUGUUAUUAAUUCUUGCUUGGUUGAUAAUUCGGUGAUUUUUGUACCUGGAAUAUUUUAGUUAGGAUAUGUCUCAAAUUGAAUUUAUAAUUAAUUUGGUUAAACUUGAAUAUCGGUGAUACUAAAAUCCAAUUUUUUUUAAUUAAAUUCAUGAUAAUUUAAAACUUUUCACAGCCUUAUCUGAUAUUUGAAUCUUUGUGGUGAAAAAAGAUCACACAUCUUCUUUGCUAUCACAACAUCCCUAAAUUAUUACCAAAAACAUUUCUUAAAAAAAACGUCAUCUCUAUUUGAUUGGCUUAUCCAAACCAUGCAUGUACGUACAGACUAUCAAUGUCUCUCUUUAUCUCUGCUAUAUAACUAAUAAUGCCAAUGUCACUAUAGACCUCAGCCAUUCACAGUCUUUGCCAAUAUAUAAUAGACUUCCAUUGAGAUAUUUUUCUAUACAAAAAAACAUGGUUAGCUAGGAGAGAAAAAUUAGACUUCGCAGUUAGAGACUUUUUUUUUAUUAUUGUUUUUUACUGGAUGUUUAUUCUUUUUUUUUAAAAAAAAAAAAAAGACGUUCGUUAAUGUUACAAGUCCCAAUUAAUUAUAAAUAAACUAGUACGUAUUUGUCUUGAUCGACUUGUUGACAACUGUUAGUAGCUGAGAAUAUCUUGCAUUGAUCUUCUAAAUCCUUUCGUUAUGGAAGCACUGUGUAAUCCUUUAUUGCUGGAGCUCUUCAAAAAAAUUUGUGAUUUUGAUGCCCAGUUCUAACAUUCAUCUUGUACCAUGUUUUUCGAGUCCCGUUUUAAAAAAUUUAAUUUUUUUUAUUUUUUUAAUAUUUUUCAAACAUUUAAAUACACAAAUAUCAAAACAACCGUAUCUUUUGUCACCCAGUGUUUUUUUCUCUAUUGUUUGUUGAUAGAAUCACAAACAGAAACUUCCUUAUCUCUGAUCCAUUUAUGAGGAUUAAAUACCUUAUCUCUCUAGGAAUUAAGAUCAACCUUAUCUCUCUAGGAGUCUUCUUGACCGUCUUCAAGGCAACCAGGAAUCAACGACUGACAUGGUGUCAGAAUUCCUAGGAGUCUUCUUGAUAGAUCUCGACUCUUUAUAAAGAAACGUUCAUUUCAUCAAACACAACAUGCUGUGACAUAAAAAAAUCUCUACUCGUAGGCUUAAAGCAUUUAUAGCCUUUGUAUUUGUCCUUGUAUCCGACAAAAACACAUGGAAUUGUCUUGGGAUCAAACUUAUUUUUCUUUUGGUCCAAGGAAAGCAUUUUGAACCAAAAACCCUUAAACUAGUGUAUGUUAGUUUGUGUUUUAUACAACUUAAAAUAUGGUGUUCUGGUAAAGGUCCCCUCUACGUGCUCCUGUCAUCAAUUUUUGCCCUGUUGUUCUGUCAUUAACACAAUAAUUCUCAUCAGAAAAUUCACAAUGUACAGGAUGCUGAGUUAUUAGUUGAUUGAAUAAUAGUAGGUUUCUUGUUAAUUCAAGAACAAAUAAGAUAUUUUUUAAUGGUAACAUGAUGAUCAUCUGUUUUAUAUUUGUAUCACCUAUACUAUUAAUUUGCAAUGAUGAACCAUCUCCAAUUAUAACAUCAUCUGUUCCCUUAUAGCUUCUAAGAUUACUAAGUACAUCUACCUUACAUGUCAUAUGAAUGGAUGCACAGUGUUUGGUGUACAUUCUAUAUCAGCUACAAUGUUAUCUAACAUGAGGGCUACUAGUGCUUGAGAAAUGUCAGACUGUGUUGUUGCUUUCUUUAGUGGCCACCAAUAUAUUUUUGCAAUGGCCAUUGACAUCAUAGUACAUAUUGACACUUAUCUUCACGAUACAUCUUUUUUUCUAUAGGUGUCGUCCUGCGUUCACCUAGGGAAGAAGAAGGACGAGGUCUGGAAUUGGAAACAAAAACAUCGUUAGGAUUUUUCUUGUUACCUUAAUUAUGGUUGUUGUGCUUGGAAGCCAUUUCAUGCUAAAUUAAAGGACUGGCGUUUGCCAUAGGUAGGCGAAGAGACUUGUUGUGCUCUCUUCACGAUACAUAUAAGGCUUCUUCUCACCGUAAUGGAUUGGUUUGAGCUUUGAUAAAUUAAAAUAAAUUCAAAAUCAAGUAAAUAUUAAAAUAUGAAAUUGACGGGAUAGAAAUUACAAUUAAGCUCUACUUCCAAGUCGUCGCCCAAUAAAUACUCAAGCCAACUAUAUGGAGGCAAUAACUCAAUAUUUUGAUUCUACCAAGGACCUGGACACUACUGUAUGUAUUUUGAUUUUCUAUGAAAUAAGAGUUCCUUCAAGGAAAAUGCGCUAACAUAUGUUGUACUGAGAUUGAAGCCCAAUUUAUAUCACCAGGAGAUGGAGGCAGGCUGUUUUACAAAGGAGGUGUUUCAGGCUAUAGUUGGGUAAUAUAUUUUUUUUAAAAAUUAUUUUGUUUUAAAUUAAUAUUUUGAUAUUUUUGGAUUGUUUUAAUAUAUUGAAGUCAAAAAUAAAUUUUAAAAAUAAAAUAAAAAUUAUUAUUUUAAUGUAUUUCUAAGUAAAUAACAUUUUAAAAAUAAUUUUAUUACUAUCUUUUAUAUAUAUAUAAACUAUUAAGUGAGAGAGAAAGGAAGGGAAGCUAUUUAAAUGGAAGAGAAAGAGGCGGGAGGGGAGGUGGGAUGAACAUUUUUAGGGAUUUUUCAUUAAAGGGUGAAAAGAGAGGGAUUAUUAUUAUUUUUUUGCCUAUAUGGCAUAAAUUAGUGGAACCAAGCUGUAACUAAGAGAAAUGUGCUAGUUUCAGCUUGCUCGAGCAUUGCAAAAUAAGGCAUGUUGUUAACCAUUCUCCAAGAAAUAUAAAACAAAAUAAAAUAAAACAUGAACCAGGAAGAACAAUUAGAGACAAGCACAGAACAAAACAGAGAGUGAACCAGCUUAAUAUCUAGAAACUCAUCAUGCUGCUAUUGCCAAUUCCAGCUUCCAAGUCAAGAUCUGGUUUGUGGUCAAGCGGUGGUUUGAGAAGAGUGUCUCUAGCCGUUUUCAGUUUGAGAAGAGAGUCCCUCAUGUUAGUUCUCCGAUCAGGAGAAUCAACCGUGCAGGAUAGCCCGACACCAAGGAUAGUAAUCAAGCAUUCAUGUGUUGGGCUCUUCCCUGUGAACAGCUCAGGGUCCACUACUUGUUCUAUGCUAGCAGGAAAAGCUGAUUCCACCCACUUGAUUAUGCUUGAACCUCCAGAAAAGAUUUCGUGUGUUGAGCUCUUCCCUGUGAACAGCUCCAGCAGCAUAACUCCAUAGCUGUAAACAUCUCCCGGAGUUGAUGGCCGCAAUCCUAAACCGUAUUCUGCAAAGAACAUGUCCAUACAUCUCAAAUGCAAUAAAGUAAAGGAUCUGUAUAAACACAAGUGAUCUAUAGACACAAGUAAGAACAGAGGCGCAUGCAAGGAAACACACUGUUCAAACAACAAUUUGAGAUUCCAAGAUCAAGUUGAUUUGCUAACCUGGAGGAAUGUAUCCUAUAGAGCCCCUGAGGCCACCUGUGCAAGUUAUUGGCUGUUGGUCAGCUCCUCUCUCUGCCAGCAAUUUAGCCAAACCGAAGUCUCCCACCUUUGCAGUCAUGUCUUUGUCAAAAAGCACAUUACUUGGUUUCAAAUCACAGUGCACUACUGGAAUUUCACAGUCAUGGUGCAGGUAAUCCACAGCGCAAGCAACAUCGAUAGCCACAUUUAACCUCUCCAAAAUAUUCAACAAGCCUCCAUCUAAUCGCCUUUUGCUUCCCUUAAUCCAUUCUUCCAAGCUCCCAUUAUGCAUGUAAUCAUAAACCAAAGCCAUGAGGUUACGAGUUUAAUAAGAUUCCGAUGCCUUACGUUCUUCAAAGCCUCACAUUCAGCCAAAAAACUCUUCCAGGAUCCGUACUUCUCGAUGUCAAGCACCUUCACUGCAACAACAGUCCCAUCUCCAAGUUCACCUUUGUAGACUGACCCAAAACUGCCCUUCCCUAUCAGAUUUCCAGUGUCAAAACUCCCAGUUGCUUUACGAAGCUCUCUAUAAGUGAUUGUGGGAUGCUGAAGCUUAAUUGAAUAUGCCCUUGGCAUAAUUUUCCCUUUUCUUUUCCUUACACACAGCAAAACUGCUAUCACUGAGCAUACUGCAACUGUGGCUAUGCUGGCAAUGACAAUAUAAAUUGCAGUGGAUGUUCUUUUCCGAUGUUGAUUGUUCCAACAAGUUAGAUCCAGGCAGAGCUUCGAAUUCCCUUCCACGUGAAUUCUAGAGAGAUUUAUAAAGGCUCCUUCCUUAGGAAGAAGUCCUUCAAGGUCGUUGAAUGAGAGGUUCAACAAGUGAAGGGCCUGCAAGUUUUCAAGAUUAUUGGGUAUUAUGCCUGAUAUUUGAUUCGAAGAGAGGUCAAGGAUCUCCAAACCCUUCACGUCGCCUAGAGUAGCUGGAAUGACUCCAGAGAACAUAUUGUUUUCCAUGAAUAACUUCUCCAAACUCUUCCAGCUUCCAAUUGUAUCUGGGAUGCUUCCAGACAAAUGAUUGUGAGAAAAAUCAACAGCGGCAACAUUUUCGAGCCCCUUGAUCUCUUGAGGCAAAGAACCUGUUAGCUGGUUACUGGACAGGUUCAGAGUUGCACUCAAACUGGAGAGACUGAAAAUUUCUUUCGGUAUGCUUCCGCUGAGCCUGUUGCUGGAUAGAUCCAUGGACACCAAUUGCUGGAAAUUAACAAAAGUUGUGGGCAGACUUCCUACCAAGUCGUUAGUAGAUAGAUCAAUUUCAUUCAGUUUUUGGAGCUUUCCAAGGGAGUUUGGAAUUCUACCCGAUAUCUUAUUUGCAGCCAAAUGCAACUCUUGCAGAUUUUAAGCUCGCCAAUUUCUGGUGGAAUCUCACCAGAAACAUAAUUAUAGCUUAUAUUUAGCAACGCCAAGCUUCUAAGAUGUCUGAUUGAGGCUUGUAUCCUUCCAUAUAUUCUAUUCCCCCCCAAGUAUAAACUUCUAAGAGAACCCGAGAGAUUUCCAAUGGAUUCCGGAAUGAGACCCUCCAGAAGAUUGCCAUCGAUGGCAAGAAAGUUAAGAUAGCUACUGUUUAUGAAAGAAGUGAGAAAAUUGAGACCCUCAUCACCAGAACUUUUUAUCUGAUUGUAGCCAAUGUUAUACAUUUGCAAUUCAGGAAGAUUUCCAAGUCCUGAUGGCACAUAUCCACUCAGAAGAUUGUGUGCCAUACGGAUGCUCUGUAUGUUUGUAAGAUUAUGCAAAGACCAUGGAAUUGAACCAGUAAAUUUGUUGAUGCAAAAAUUGAAGUUCAAAAGAUUUGGGAGUCUAUCUCCAACAUCAACUGGGAUUUCACCUCGCAGUUGGUUUGAUGCAACCGCGAGGAAAACCAAAGAAGAAAUGUUGUACAGGGAUACAGGAAUUCUGCUGCUCUGCUGAGCUGAAACAGCAGGCAUAACCUUGGCCAGUGAGGAGGUCUCAUCCCGCAAGAAAUUUGAAGUUUGCGUAAAGUUACAGUGAAGUGUAUGAAUAGCUUCGUUCCAAAGGAGGAAAUUACAUUAUCAGUUGCCUGGGGAUCCUUCUGCUCUUGUAGAGAUCUGAGCUUUAUAUGAACAACUCACACUUGACCAAAUUAUUAUUAUUAUUAUUUAACUCUUCUUUCAAUUGAGUAUAAAUUUCUCUAGCAAUUGGCACUUCCGAAAGCUUUUUAAAAGACAGAAAUUACCCUUAAAGAUUCUCAUCAACUCUGUUGUGAAAAAUUCUGAGAAUUGAUAAAUCCUUUUAUCCUUUUUCUUUCUAAUUAGCCACCCUCCUGUCCUGUCUUGAUUUUUAUUUUAUAUUUUAAAACAUACAAAGAUAUCUUUUACUUUAAUUCUUUGUUUUUAGGGUUGAUAUUGUAAAUAUAUUAUUUAGUUCAUUCAUUUUAUUGCAAGUUCUAGAAUCAAGGCUAAAUGCUCAGAAUUCCACCAAUUUAUUGUAUGUAAUUCACUAUUUAUUUUUAUAUUGAUAAAUUAAAAACAUACAAUAAUCUUAAGAGAAAAUUGUUGCUUAAAUUCAUGUUCAUUAAGAAAAUCAAAGAAAAAAUUAAUAUACUCAGUAAAACAGUGUUGUUAAGCUAAACACCAUCUUUAUGUUUUCGCUAUCACCGUGUUUUGUUCAGGGAUAUGAGUGAUUAAUGUUGAUUGUAUUUCUUCUAAUGUUCUUCCCUUCGUCUCUGGCAGCAACUUCCAUACGAAUAGAAUAGUUAAAGCACACAUUCCACUGAAGAUGAAGAAGGUCCCUGCAAGAAAUAUCCAGCACGGAAUAUUAAUGAAAAAAUAUUGACCAAAGGAUUGUAGGAGUGCCCCAUUGCGCAGUUGCAUCUGGUAAUGGAAAGAUUGGUGUAACUAUAGAUCUACAUCUCAUUUAGUAAGAACAACAUUAGAAAAUUUUACUUGAAAAUGAAGAGAGCAUAGUGAAAUACAAGCAACACAGAACACUAGAGAGCCUUAAUGGCCAUCAGAACACAUACACUCAAUGCCUGUGAGAAAACUCGCUUGAUUUGUACCUUGCCUUUUGCAUUACUGUAGCAGUGAUCAUAUAAAUCUUUUCAAAAUCUCCGUGCAUUGCAUUUAUUCCAGGCUAUGUGAUUUUUCGUGGAUAGAGAAGUUCAACUCUUGCAUUCGUUUUUAUGCAGGUUCGCCGUCGUUUGUCUGAAUGAAAAUAGAUAUGGAGGGACCUUUGCUUUUAUGAAGAUAAAUGUGGAAAUGAGUAAAAAUAAUCGACUUAUUCGAGCACGAAGGGGAAGGCCAUGCCAUAACUUAUAAGGGGUUAAUUAUAUUUUAGUCAAUCCAGUAUAGUAAAACUAACUAAUCAGUCAUCUUAGUUUAAAAUGUCCUGAGAUGAAGUUUUUCUCCAACGGAGCACUGAGCACUCCCAAGCUGCGGAGAGUUAAUUUCAAUGAUGUAGAGAAGAAAAAUCUCAACACCACAAUACAACAGUUGUCUACACAAACGAUAAGUACCGACCAAGCAUUCCAAUUUCUGCAAACCAUGAAAUAAGUUCUAACUAGGUAUCUAAUUUUGCUUGUAUUUAACUAUUUCAGAAAGCUCAAAUUGCUGAAAGUUCAUCAUCGUAAAAGCUUGAGAUACAUGCUUGCUCCACCGAUGGGUUCGAUCCCUGUGCAGCUCCUAGAGUUGGAAGUAAAAGGAGAGAAAGGAAGAAAGGAGGGAGAUGAAGAAGACAGGAGCAGGAGAAAUCAAUUAAUGAUCUUCAUAAUUCACUCGUCAAAACUGUGUAAUGUAAAAUACAAUACAUAUGAAUAUCCAACUCUACCCAAACAUUGAUUUACAAUUACUAUAAAAAAAUGUUGUUUUAAUGUAAAAAUAUUAUAAUUGUAAAUUUUGUUAUUUUUUGUGGUAAAAUUGUAAUUUUUUGGGUUUUUUUAGAAAACAUGUUUUUUCAAUAUUUUUUUAUACUUGUUAUUUUUAUCAUUUUAUAUUUGAUUUAUUUAUCACCAUUUUUUAUCUUUAUUUUUUAAUAUUUCUUUAUUUUUUUCCUUACAUUUUUUUUAAAUAUUAUUUUUUACACUUUAAAUAUUUAUUACAAUACUUGGUUUAUCACUGUACUAUUUUUUUUGUUUUUAUCUUUAUAUUUUUAUAAUUUUUAUUUACAUUUUUUUAAAACUAUUAUAUGUAGAACACUUUUUUUUAUUUCUUUAUAUUUUAUUAACACAUAUGAUAUUUACUACAAUUUAUUAUAUAUAAGUAUCGAUUUCUUGAUUCAUGGUUAUAUUUCUUACCUGAUGUCGAAAAACACAUCAAUAACACCUAUACAUUAAUUAUUUUGUGUUAAAAAAAAUAAUUGACAUACAACGAGACAAGUCAAAUUGACGCAUGAACACUUUAUUUUUUAUAUUUAUUGGCACAAAUGGUUCUCGAAGUAUUUAAUUAAAUGCAUGCGUAAAUCUUUUGAUUUAUAAUUAUAAUUUAAAUAAAAAUAAAAACAUAUUUGAAAAGCUUGUAUAUUUUUUUUUGUUAAAAAACAUUAUCCGACCUGUGAUAAACCCUAGUCUUGAUCCAAAGGGAGAACUAUAAACACCUUGACAUUUGCAAGAAGGCUUUUCAGCACCAAUACUACUAACACUCAAGUCGGUCAAAUUGGGAUGAUUUGUAACCCAAUUUUUUACCAUUUUUAUUUUUAUUAUUAUUAUUUUAUUUACUGAAAAGAUAAAAAAUAAUGAAAAAAAAAUAAUGAUGAAAAAAAGUAAAAUGAAAUAAAUUAAGAAUGAAUUAAAAUUUUGGUUAAUGGCAUCAUGGUUGGAAGUUUUGGGGUUUAAUCAAACUUUGAAAUUAAUCCAAUCAAGGGCUUAAUGGAAGAAUUGAUAAGUUUUGAGACUUAAUUGAGUUUGGAAUUAAUUUAAUUAAUCCAAUUAAGGGUUUAAUUGGAGAAUUGAUAAGUUUUGAGAUUAAGCUUGGAAUUAAUUUAAUUAAUCCAAUCAAGGGUUUAAUUGGAGAAUUGAUAAGUUUUGAGACUUAAUUAAGCUUGAAAAUUAAUUUAAUUAAUCCAAUCAAGGGUUUAAUUAGAAAAUUGAUAAGUUUUUGGACUUAAUUGGCUUGGAAUUAAUUUAAUUAAUGAAACCCGGGGACUUAAUUGAAGAAAUAUCAAAGUUUGGGGUUUAAUUGGGGUCUAAAUUGCAAACAUUAAAAUCCAAGGACCAGAUUGAAAAUGUCACGGAAAUGCAAGGAUCCAAUUACGUUUUAACCAGGGGCUUGAUUACAAAAGUAUAAGAAUCCAGAGGACCAAAUGGAAAGCAGCCCUUAGACAUAGAAAACGGGGUUGUUUUGCAGCGACUGUUCACCGUCUUCUUCCUCUGCAACGGCUCUGCCAUUAAAGGCAGAGACGUUUCAUCCGUUGGCAGCAACGUUUACUCAUUGAAGGCGACCAGUUACAGGGCAUUGAGGAGGCGACCGUUGCCACCGAUUCUGGCCUUAUAAAAGGAGAGGGAAUCACAGAACCGCAGGGGGAAAAGGAAAGCCAUGCACGGCAGGGAGAGAGACUAAAACCAAAGGAAAACCUGGGAGGGACAGAACCAGGGAAUAUUUUUGUCCAUCAACCAGCAGACUUCGUGCUUUUACCACCAUCGUCUUCGUCUUGAACGGAGAAGACUGGGCAGAACCGAGGAACGAAAAAACUGAGAAAAAUAAAAGCAGAGGAACGACGCAGAGACAAGGAGCAGCCCCGCCAUCUUCCUUGUCCCUUCAUCUCAGAACUGAAGGUGACAUAAUCUCAAACCAGGAGCAAAGGAGACGCAAACUCAGCCCAUCGGACGAAAGCGUAGAGACGAGAACCGGCGUUGACCAUCGUCUUCACAGUCUUCAGCAACCAGCCUCCAUAACCAGAGGCAGCAGAACAAAGAAGACGACACCGAGAAUGUGGUAGAACCAGAGACAGAGGACGGAAGACGAAGAAGAAGAAGCAGAGGACAGAGAGAGAAGUGAUAUAGAGAGGGACAGGAGGAGAAGGAAACCAGAAAUCAAAAAAAGAAGGCAGAGAGAAAGAAGACCAGAAAAAAGAACAAACCAAACGCAGGAGGAGAAAGUAACAUUAACCGGCCGGCCCUCCAUUACUGUCAUCGCAUCUUCAAGUGCAGCUACCAGGUAAGGUGCGCUUUCCUUUGAAACAUUGUAAGGGGAUGUAUCUCAAAUGGUAGAGCGCUCGCUUUGCAUGCGAGAGGUACAGGGUUCGAUCCCCUGCAUCUCCAUUUCCCUUUUUUUUUUUUUCUUGAGAAACAGUAUUGUGUUCUGGAAGACACUGCUAUAAUUGGAGAGUUGAAGAAAUUCCAACUGCCAAGAAAUUCCAUCUCUUUUUAUUGUAUAAAGACGUUUCCCUGUGAAACAUGAACUCUGUACUUUGGGCAUUACCCGAGCUCAAAAAAUUCUAUCCAGGAAGACAUCGACAUAUUUGAAAGAAAUUAUGUGUGUAUUACUAUGACAAAUUGGAGAUAUUUGAUUCAGAACAUACAAGCUUCCACAUGACAAUGCUACAUAGGAACACACCUUUCCUCUUUUUUGUUUUCUUGCAAAUCUUAAUGGACAAAAUAUUUUACCAGUUGAGUUACAGAGCCGGGGGAGGUUUUCUCUAAUGCAAUUCAUUUCUAUUACAAGAUUUCAAUGGACAAAAUCUUUAGACAAUAAUUACAUAUGGUUAAAAAAAAAUCACUUUUAAAAUAUAAAAACAAACAGACCUAAAUCUUUCACCAGUAGAGUUACAGGGCUAGGGAAGUUUUUCUCUACUAGAAUCCAUUUCUAUUACAAGAUCUCAUCGGACAAAAUCUCUAGACAACAAUUACAUAUGAUUAAAAAAGAGACCCACCUAUGACCUAUCUAUGCUGCAAUCAUUUUGGUCUUACAAAUAUUAUUUGAAGUGAGACACUUUCUACAAUUAUUUUUAUUUAGAUUUUCUAAAUUUUGAAAAGUUUCACAUUCAGUAUAAUAAAAAAGAUAUAUAUUUUUUUUCAUUCGAAAGAGCUUUAUUAUUAAAAAAUAAUUAGCUUGCUAGUUAUUUUCAGAUUUAAAUUAAGUACUAUUUCAGAUAUAUUUUUUUCAAUUUUUAUUGUUGCUUUCUCUCUUUUUUUUCUGUUUGGAUUAAUAUUUUCAAUUUAAUUAGUUGGGAUAUUUUUUUUAUAUUUAAUUAAUAUUUUUUUUUAAUAAAAUACAGAUUUUUCAAAAACUAUCAAAGAUUUUAUUUUUCUCCAUAAUCAAGGACUUGGCACUUGGCAGAGUUCAAUUGGUUAGUUCUCCAAAGUGGGCCCCUAGUUUCUGUAGCAAUGCAGCAAGCCAAGUUGUUCCUCACUGUUUAUGGAUGUUGUGCACUUGCUGAUUCGGCAGAGUUCAAUCGGUUAGUUCUCCAAAGUGGGCCCCUAGAUUCUGUAGUAAGUCAAGUUGUUCUUCUUUUUUUAUGAAGGAAAGAUGCUCUCUUUCAACUAUACAGAGAGUAAUCAUUAAGCCAUCCACUGUUGCUCUCAUCCAUUCCCUUGCUUUCUCACUGCUGAUAAACCUCAGCUGUUUAUAAUCUGCAGUAAUAUUUGCAUCUCUGCUCACUGGUCUGAAGUCACUGCUCUGUUGAUUAGCUGAAACCAAGAUGUAUGGUUGCUUAAGGACUUUUCCUUUUUCCUAUUUUUAUCACUUGAUUCCAGAGACCCUUUGAUGUUAAUUUUCUAUUCAUCUUGAUUGCUUUCUUUCUUUCUUUGUUACUUUAUGCUGUUGAAAAGCCUCUGCUUUGCUGCUUGUUUAUUAUUUGUGUUGUUUUUGCUUUAUUAAUGUAACUUUCAACAACGAAACCCUUUUGCUGUUGAUUUCUGAUCUAGUUCCAGAAGAUUUGAAAAAUUUCCUUUUGAUUUAAUCUGUUCAUUGCAGUUCCUUGAUUGCUUGAUUCCAGACAAGAAGAAGAUUUAAGUUUCAUUGGACAUGGAUAUUUUGAGUACUGUUGUCGCCACAGUUGCUGAGCUGUUAGUUGUUCCCAUUAAGAGACAGAUUGGUUAUGUAAUUGAUUGUAAUGCCAAUAUUCAGAACUUAAAAAAUGAAGUUGAGAAGCUGACAGAUGCAAAAACAAGGGUGAUUCAUUCUAUAGAGGAGGCUAGAAGGAAUGGGGAAGAGAUUGAAGUUGAUGUUGAGAACUGGCUGAGAAGUGUUGAUGGGGUCAUUCAAGGGGGAGGUGGUGUUGGUGGAGAUGAAUCAAGUAAGAAGUGCUUCAUGGGUUUGUGUCCUGAUCUAAAGAUACGCUAUCGGUUGGGUAAAGCAGCGAAGAAGGAGUUGACGGUUGUUGCUGAUCUCCAGAAAAAAGGGGAAUUUGCUAGGGUUUCUUACCGUCCUGCUCCAUCGGGUAUAGGGCCUGUCCAGGGCUAUGAGGCCUUUGAAUCAAGAGAUUCUGUAGUAAAUGCUGUUGUGGAUGCAUUGAAGGAUGGUGCCGUGAACAUGGUUGGGGUAUAUGGGAUGGGUGGUUUGGGGAAGACCACACUUGUGUUGAAGGUUGCUGAACAAGUCAAGGAGGGUAGGCUGUUCGAUAAGGUGGUUCUGGCACUUGUGUCACAGACUCCAGACAUCAGAAGAAUUCAAGGUGAAAUAGCAGAUGGGCUAGGACUCAAAUUGGAUGCAGAGACUGAUAAAGGAAGGGCAAGUCAACUAUGCGAGGGAUUGAAGAAAAUGACUAGAGUACUUGUAAUUCUUGAUGAUAUUUGGAAAGAACUUAAAUUGGAGGAUGUUGGAAUUCCUCACGAAGGAUGCAAGAUACUCAUGUCUUCAAGAAAUGAAUAUGUACUGUCUCGCGAGAUGGGUGCAAUAAAAAAUUUCCCGAUUCAAUUUUUGCCUCCAAAUGAAGCAUGGAAUUUUUUCGAAAAGAUGGUGGGGGUUACUGUUAAAAAUCCUAGUCUACAACUUGUUGCUGCUGAAGUAGCCGAAAGAUGCGCAGGUUUGCCGAUUUUACUUGCUACAGUUGCGAGGGCACUGAAAAACAAAGAUUUAUAUGCUUGGAAGGACGCCUUGACACAGCUAAAAAGGUUUGAUAAAGAUGAAAUUGACAAACGAGUUUACUCGUGUCUAGAACUGAGUUACAUAGCUUUGAGAGGUGAUGAAAUCAAGUCAUUGUUCUUGCUUUGUGGGCAAUUACGAUCUAAUAAUAUUUUAAUCUCAGACUUGUUAAGGUAUGGUAUAGGCUUGGAUUUGUUGAAGGGACGUUCCACAUUGGAAGAAGCAAGAAACAGACUGCAUACAUUGGUGGAUGAGCUUAAAGCCUCUUGUUUGUUGCUAGAAGGUGACAAUGAUGGAAGCGUGAAAAUGCAUGAUGUUGUUCAAAGUUUUGCCAUCGAUGUUGCAUCAAGGGACCGCCAUGUGCUUGUUGUGACAGAUGAACUCAAAGAAUGGCCAACCAAUGAUGUGCUUCAACAGUGCAGUGGAAUCUCUUCGCCUUACCGGAAAUUUCCUGAUCUUCCUGCAAUAUUAGAAUGUCCAAAUCUCAGGUCGUUUAUACUGCUGAACAAGGAUCCCUCACUGCAAAUACCAGACAACUUUUUCAGAGAAAUGAAGGAGCUUAAAGUCUUGGGUCUUACAGAAGUUAAUCUUUCACCACUGCCUUCGUCACUUCAAUUUCUUGAGAACCUUCAAACGCUGUGUUUGGAUCAUUGUGUUUUGGAAGAUAUAUCUAUAGUUGGAGAGCUAAAGAAGUUGCAAGUUCUCAGCUUAGUGAAUUCUAAUAUUGUUUGUUUGCCAAGAGAAAUAGGAAAAUUGACUCGUCUGCUACUUCUAGAUUUGAACAAUUGUGAAAGGCUUGAAGUAAUAUCACCAAAUGUCCUUUCUUCCUUGACCCGUCUAGAAGAAUUAUAUAUGGGAAACAGCUUUCUGAAAUGGGAGGCUGAAGGAUCAAGCAGUGAAAGAAACAAUGCUUGCCUGUCAGAAUUGAAGCUUCUGGCAAACUUAAUUACCUUAGACAUGCAAAUUACAGAUGCAGAUCAUAUGCCCAAGGACUUGUUUUUGUGCUUUCGAAAGUUGGAAAGGUUCAGAAUAUUUAUUGGAGAUGGGUGGCACUGGUCUGUUAAGUAUGCAAC